CUCAGGCCCCUUGAACUCGGGUAAUACCCUACAUCCAGUUGGUAUUGAUUUCUUUGUGCUGAAUAACGCUGAGCUUGUUACACAGUCGAUGAUACAGGUUGCGAGAGAGGGAGUGCUCCCAAGUCUCAAAAUGUCUAACAAGAGUCCUAUGAAAGAAAAAGAUAAACUGGUCCUAGUCUAAGUUCUUCCUCCUUCCUCUGUCUUGCUGCUGGUGGCUUGAGCGGAGGAGCUACUAGUGUGGAAUGAGCUGAAGG
This 254-nucleotide long non-coding RNA is filed under the name Setaria italica (foxtail millet). RNAcentral's name for it is "long non-coding RNA (SITA_LNC005723)". The record is from RNAcentral. Lineage: Eukaryota; Viridiplantae; Streptophyta; Magnoliopsida; Poales; Poaceae.